GGCUCAUUCCCAAAGUAAUGCCUCGCCCUCACAGCUAAGUGGAAACCAAACCAGCCACCAGAGAAAUGGAAGUUAGGCCAUUGUAUCAGUCAGGAUAUUCUUUUAAAUAACCAGAGGGCUUUGUUGUCUCUUAGAAUUGGAAUGUCAAGUGGGAAGAUAAGUUUCAGGGGCUGUUUGAUUGAGCAACCCAAAAAUGUCAUUAAGAAAAGAUCCGGCUUCUUUCCAUCUCUCCACUCUACUUUUUACAGGUCAAUGAAUCCAAGUUGUUUUUGUUUUGUUUUGUUUUCAUUAUGACAAAAUGGUGGCAGCCAUUCUAGACUGACACGCCACAGCAGCUGGAAGAAAGACACGAUCUUUUCCUCUGAUGCCUCUCUCAGAAGCAUUCCAGUUUAUGUCUUCCUCUUGCCUAUUUGAGGACUAAAGUCAAAAUGUCUAUACCAUCCUGUACAGCCACAUAUGGGUCUUGAGCACUUGAAAAGUGACUGGUCCAGCUUCACAUGUGCUCACUGUACCAGCCUCUGGAGGAAAUGCAAGAGACCUUCCAGACCUGAUCACCACACCCUAUUCAUAAUCUCGCCAUGGAGAAGAGACAUCCACUUAUGAAGCCAGCAGAACAGAUGUGGGCAACUUUCAAAAACGAAGUAACAAAUGGUCAGCUCCUGUUCUUCUGUAGUGCUGAGGAUGGAAGGAGAAAGAGUUCACACAGAAUGGGACCCUAGCGAUAUGAAAGUCAAGAAAAAGUCAAUUGAUAACUUCAAAUGGACCAGAGCUGGCACCAUAAGUGCCAUGGACCUGUCAUGCCUGCUAAACUGAAUGGCAAAGUCCUUUAAAUACAAUAAAUAUUACAUGUCACUUUGGGUUUCUUGAGUCUAAUGCUCUCAAGUUUGGGAAAUCUUAUGAAGCAAUGAUUACGUAAUUAAGAUAAAUCACAAAGGAAAUUGUCUCAUUUUUUUUACGAUAGCAACAAGUCUUUUUUUUUACUUUAAGUUUGUUUCGUUUUUAUUAGAAUUAGUAGUAGUAUUGCUCUGGAAAGAAUGUUCUAUUCAGAAGCAGAAAAUGGGAAGUAACUGUGAAUUUACAAUUUUCUUACCCUAGCUCAUAUUUAUUUCUUUUAAACACAAGUACUUGUCAUCAAACCAAAGUUAAAUAUUAUGAUGUCACAGAUGCUGAACUAAAUACAUUAAGAUACACAAAAUACAUGGGUACUAUCAUAGUCCAUGACAGAAAAAAACUCAUUAAUUAAUCUUUGAGACAAGAGAAAAAGGUUGGUUGGAACCCUACCUCAGCUUCUUUCAUGACAUGAAUAUGUUCAUUAAUCUUUCUAGACUUUAAUAUUCCCAUUAGAAAAAUGUAGGCCUUGUCAACCCCAAAGUAUUGUCAUCAUAGAUUGUCGAAUGGUUUCUUUUGAAGACUCAACUAAGUGCAAAGUUUAAAGUAUUAAUUAUUUUGUAUUAUUUCACUCAUUACAAUUCAGCUUUAAAAUAUAAGGGAAUAUAUUACACAAGGUUAUUUUGGAAGUAAUUCCAUAAAAAUUUCAAAACUAAAGGAUAUAAUUAAGUAUAUAAUUAACUUCUACCAUAUCCAUAUGAUAGAACCAUUGGCCUUCUCCUGUGCCUUUACUGGAACAUUGAUUAAGCUCAAGCCCAAAUUGACUGUUGUUGGCCACAAUGGAGUACCUGAUAUUAUAUCAAAUACCUCUGGUUCUCAAUAUAGUCAUAGCUUCAAAGAAUUUUUUCUUUCAAUUCCCAGAGGAACCACCGUAGGAGGCGUCUUACUUUCUCCAGAGUUUAACAUAUGUACAAUUUCAGACCAAACACAUUUCUUUUAAAAGCCCACAUAUCAAAAUUGUGCACUGCAUCUUAAUGCUGUCUGUGCCCCAGUAUGUAAUUUGUUUGGGGUUUUUCUGUUGCUUUUUUGUUGUUGUUGCCUUACUUUGAAUAAGUAAAUUAACCAAUGAAUGCCUGAGGACACGCAGCACAUGUUCAGGGCUUGUGACACAGAAGGGCAUAAAAGCAAGGAUGGUAAUAUCUGCUAAUAGAACUUCCCAUCCCAGGAGGGGGUUUUCAUUUCUUUUGUUUGCACAAUUUAAAUAGGCAAAGCUACCCCUUUAAAUGACACGAACCUUUUGUCCCUAUGAGAUUUCGGUUAUCAGGCCACAGUCUGUCAGUUUGAAACCAUUUCCUUCCCAAUUAGCUUGCAGUUGGGUGGUGUGUCAUGCUGUUUUGCGGUUUCUCCACCUUCAUUUGACCUUCAGCAUCAUCUGCAAUGCUCUCUGUUUAGCACCAAAAAUCACAAUCAAUGCAGAGAGGCACCUGGUGUGUUUGCUCAAGAAUUUUGUGCUUGAAACCUUAUAGCUUGAGAGGAUUUGGGGACUGUGGUUUGUCUGUAGUUGAAGGUUUCCUCUGUGACUGGGAUACUUUCUCUUCCUGAGACUGCAGGGAAUAACAACCCCAGAAAAUCUCCCUUACAUUUAAUGCUCCCGCGCAUUAGUGGCAGUGCAAGGGAACACACCUUUAUCAGUAGAUACUAUCUCUUCGACCCUUAUCUUGUUUUAACUGAGAUUUGGGCUAUUUCCCCUUAAGCCAAUUCUCUCUAGCUAUUCCCAUCCCCUUCCUUCCUGCUUCACAAUGAUUGCCUACAGACAGAGACUGCAGCCCACCUAAACAUCAUUUCUCAUACUCUUCUUUCUCAUUACUGCCACCACCCAAUUAUAAAAUACAACUGAAUAGCAUAGAAUGACAAUGUAAGUGGGGGGGAGGAGAAAAUCAAUGAGUCCAGUGCAAACAUCCAGUCUGUCUGAAAGAAUCCCAAAACAAAGGUAAAAUAAAUACCAGCUUACCCAGUACCUCUGCAGUUUGAGACUGAAUCCUACCAGAGUGAAACCGCAGCAUCUGAAAACAGUAAAUGGCAUAAUUAAAGAAACCCUUAAAUCAAAAUAUAUAAGUGAGACCUGUUUCCAUGAAUAUAUCAGGUUAUUAUUAAGCCAUUGGAGAAGGUGUAGGAAAUAUUAAAGAAUCACUUAAAAAUUUUUAAAGCAAUAGCUUCACCUCCAAGCUUUAAGAAAUUUCUUAACUUCUAACAAAACAGAAAGUUAGUUUUGAAAUUUCAGAAAGACAGAAAGCCCUAAAUGUCAUUUGUUCCAGUCUCCCUGUUCUACAAGUGAGGAAACUGAGGCCCCAGAAAUUCAAGGCACUCAAUCAACACGAAUGAAGAGACCCAGAAGCAUAGCUGCACACAUAAGAGCAGAGGCCCGUCCUUCCAAACCCUACCUCACUUUUUCCAUCCCAUUCUCUGGGAAUCAGAAGAAGCUUGAGAAGUAGUAAUGGCAGAAAAGAAAGGUCUAAGUCCUCAAAAUUGUUUGUUCAGCAUUUUAUCUGGAGUCUGCCUCUUUUGACAUUUAAAUCAUCAACCUCUUGCCAGGUGAAAACUCUGAAAAAGAAGAGAAAUCACAAUCUGGCUUAAGAAGUUUGACAAAGAAGUAAAGCAAAGAAAUGUCAAAGGGUUAAAGCUGAGCAUCCAGACUACACAAAGAAGCCCUAAGUGAGCUGAUUGUAGUAGGAGCAUUAGCCUGAAAAUCAGUACUGCCUGGGAGCACUUCCAUCUGUCAAUCAGAAAACAUUAGAGUGGGUACUUAGAGAGUUAAGAGCAGACCCAACAGCCAAAAUGAUGAGCUUCCAAGUGAAAUCUAAGGAAUAGCGACUGUGAUUUGCUAUGGAGAGGUAUCUAUCACUCUAUCAUAACUAUUGCCAUUGCCAUCAACUUUAAUUUUCUACCUAGACACCCACCAGAAUGGCUAAAUUAAAAAGGACAGACAACUCUAAACACCGACAGGGGUAUGGAGCAACACCAUACGUUGUGGGUGGGACCGGAAAGGCGGAACCACUGUGACAAGUUCUGAUAGUUACUUAUACAACUAAACAUAUAUCUACCCUUUGUCCCAGCAAUUCUACUUCUUGGCAUUUACCCAAGAGCAACAAAAACAUAUCUUUACAAAAAGAUUUAUACAGUAUUCAGAACAGCUUUAUCCAUGGAAUCCAAAAACUAGAAAAAGUCCAUCAACAAAAAAAUGAAUAAACAAACUAUAGAAUAUUCAUACAAUGAAAUAUCAAUCAGCAAGUAAAAGGAACAAACAACAUUACCCACAGCAAUAUGGAUAAAUGUCAAAAUGUUAUGCAAAGUGGAAGAAGCCUCACACAAAAGAGUCAUUGGUGGAAAAGUCAGAACACUGGUUGUCUCUGGAGGGGUGGGGCUGGGGAGAGGCAGAAAUUGACUGGGAAAGGGUGUGAGGGAACCUUCUGGGGUGAUAGUUAUAUUUUAUAACUUGAGAGAAAUUUGGGUUACACAGUAUUUAUCAAAACUCUGUAAAUCUGUACUCAAGACCUGUGCAUUUCAUUGCAUGUACAUCUUACAUCAAAAGAAAAAAAAAACUGUAAACGUGUUAAACUUUAGUUAUAUAUGCAUAUUAUGAAGUAUUUAGGGUUAAGUGUAUUUAUGUCUGCAAUUUAUUUUGAAAUGCAUCAAAAAUAUAGACUCAUAGAUGGAUAGAUGAAUAGAUAAAUUAGACAGAUAAAUAGAUGAUUGAUAGAUAAUAGCUAGAUAGAUAAAAAUAGCUAUAGUAAAAUAUUAAUAGCAGACACUCCAUUGUAUAUAAGUGUUCACUAUAUAAUUCAUUCAUCUUUGUUGUCUGUAUGAAAAAUUUUAUAAUAAAAUGUGGAGG
RNAcentral lists this long non-coding RNA (4717 nucleotides) under Homo sapiens (human). RNAcentral describes it as "HSALNT0393544". Lineage: Eukaryota; Metazoa; Chordata; Mammalia; Primates; Hominidae. The record is from RNAcentral.